CUGCUCCUCAGCUCGGGCCCUGGUGCCAGCUCAGCCCAGGGGGCGCAGGGAGGGCUGGGGACCGAGGGGGCCGGGUCAGAAGCUGCCUCUCGUCUCUAGAAGAGAUGGGACCUCGGCGUCCGGCAGAGGCAGCCUAUUUCAUCAUAUUUGAAAAUCUAAGAGAAAAGAAAUAAGCCACUGACUUUGAAGGAGCUUCUUACACAACCGGCCAAGUAAAAGGAACGCACGCAUUUCCAAGCUGACAAAGAGGACAGGGGACCGGAGCGUGCCCACAGAAACAGGCUGGCGGUUCCCCGAGAGGUUAAGCACCGGUUCCAGGCACCUCGGCAAUCCUGCCCCAGGUGUCCCCCCAGGAAGAAGUACAACACGAAUCCACAGAGAAGCGUGAACACAAAUCCUACGUCAGCAGGAUUCACGAGAGCCUAAAGGGGGACACAACCUGUGUCCAUCAGCAGAUGAAUGGACACAUAACGUGUCCACCACACAUGCACAAGUCCCUCCGCCACCAGCAGGAGCGAGGCGCCCACCCCCGCCGCCCCGCGGACAGACCCAGAACACACGACGCUCAGGGAGGGAACCAGACACGAGAGGCCACGCGGGACGUGAGGCCACGCAGGACGUGAGUCCGCGUGUGUGAAACGUCCAGAACAGGCUCCUCCACGGACGGGAAGGGGGCUCGUGGGGGCCGGGGGCGGGAGUGAGUGCUGAUGGGGACGGGGCUUCUUUUUACGGUGAUGGAAUGUUCUGGAAUUAUUUGGAGAGAUGGCUGCAAAACCCUGUGAAUACACCGACGAUCACUAACUUGCACACUUCAAAGGGGUGAACUGCACAGUAUGUGAAUUACAUCUCAAGACAGCUGCUGCUAAAAGAGAGACAGAAAGCGUAUUCGGUGCACUCUGGGGAGCUGUCCAACGUCCAAAUUAUUCUGCUAUCCAGGAACUUAGUUACAUGAACUUACUUUAACUCAAGAGCCGACUGAAGAAGGCCAGACAGCGAAUAUUUUUAGCCUUACGGGCCAUGUGGUUUCUGUCAUAAUUCUUGUGUGUUUUUACAACCUUUCAAAAAAAACAAAGAACCAUUCCAGGCUCCCAGGCAGGCAGGACCACACUAGGCUGGGCCGGAUUUGGCCCAAAGGCCACAGUUUGCUCUGUCGACGUCAGCGGGGACCAAUUCCAAGACAGAAAGUACACGUUCCAGACAGAAAACUUCACGGCACCUCCAGGGCUUGAGAGAAAACAGGCUACAUAAGAUCUCGGGGAAAUGAGGGAGAGAGGGUAGAGGAAGGAAGGGCAGAGACGGGGGCGGCCAGGCCCUCUGAAGCUGGCGACAGCAGAGGGAGGGCGGGCCGGCCAGAACGACCCUGGGAACAGACAGAGGUUGGGGCGCCUUUGCCAAGCCAACACGGACCUCAAAAAGACCGAGGGACCCAACCGGGUCUGUCCGGUAAGCGGACCCACCCACGGUGGCGUCACAGAUGUGCUCUACGCACACACAAUUGGAAGAUGGGUGAAGUUCAAGGUGGGUCAGUGGGAGAUGCAAAAUUAAUACUAACACGGCGGGCUGAACAACAGUCCCUCCAAAGACACCCACGUCCAAAUCCCCAGAACCUGUAAAUACAGCGGUCUCACGACAAAAGGGACCUUGCAGGAGGGAGCAAGCCAAGGCCCCUGAGACGCUGGGGGUGACCCUAGGUGCCCAGGCGGGGCCCAGUGUCCUCAAGAGGUCCUCAUAGGAAGAAGGCAGAGAGACGGGUGGACCCCACGCUGCUGGCCAUUGAGGACGGAGGAGCGGCCGAGAGCCAAGGCUGUGACAUCGCUGGAAGCCGGAAAAGGCCGGAGAGGGGUCUCCCUGGGGCCCCGGGGGGUACCAGGCCCGUUUUAGACUCCUGACUUCCAGCCCUUCUAGGCCACUAAAUCACAGUGAGUUGUUAAACAGUGCUGACGGGAGACUCAAGCACUGAUCUGAGAGCCAAGUGCACGGGUCAGCCGAGAAAGGCAAAGCGUUCCUGAUCAGGCCUUGCCCCAUGUCCCCUGAUCUGCCCCAGCAGUCCCUUGGGACAUUAUGCUCCUGCCCCCCCCCCACACGUCUCCACUAACACUCCCCCCACCCGAAACGCCUGCCCCUCUCCUCUGCCUGCACCAGCCCAGCUAAUUCCUCCAGGCCCACCUCCCGUCCCAUCACAACUCCCCCAUGGUAAUGACAUCAGAUGCCAAACACUCACCACGUAGCGCUGUGCUAAGUGCUGGACCUGUGGCCUCAUUUUCAAAUACAAGGAUUGUGUUUCCCUGCUUUA
Molecule: long non-coding RNA, 2293 nt
Organism: Felis catus (domestic cat)
Lineage: Eukaryota; Metazoa; Chordata; Mammalia; Carnivora; Felidae
Exons: 2
Source: RefSeq, a predicted model, not a curated record